GGGUUUGAUUAUGGCUCAGAUUGAACGCUGGCGGAUGCUUUACACAUGCAAGUCGAACGGCAGCACGGACUUCGGUCUGGUGGCGAAAUUGGCUUGAACGGAGUGAGUAAUGUAUCGGAACGUGCCUAGUAGCGGGGGAUAACUACGCGAAAGCGUAACUAAUACCACAUACGCCUAUUGUGAGAAAGCACUAUUCGGGCCUCAUACUAUUAAACUAGCCGAUAUCGGAUUAGCUAGUUGGUGGGGUAACAGCUCACCAAGGCGACGAUCUGUAGCUGGUUUGAAGGACGACCAGCCACACUGGGACUGAGACACGGCCCAGACUCCUACAGGGGAGGCAGCGGUGGGGAAUUUUGGACAAUGGGGAAACCCUGAUCCAGCCAUCCGCGUGUGCGAUGAAGGCCUUCAGUUCGCCAAACACUUUUGGCAGGAAAGAAACGGCCUGGGAUAAUACCCGUGCAACUGACAACCUGCAAGAAUAAGCGCAAGCACAACUACGUACUGUAGCCGCGGUAAUACACGGCGGGUGCAGCAUUAAUCCAAAUUCUGGGCGUAAAGCGUGCGCACGAGCGGUUCGAAAAGAUGUGAAAUCAGAGCUUAACUUUACGGAACUGCAUUUUAACUACGAGCUAGAGUGUGUCAGAGGGAGGUGGAAUUCCGCGUGUAGCGAUGAAAUGCGUAGGUAUGCGGAGAGACACCGAUGGCGAAGGCAGCCUCCUGGGAUAACACUGACGCUCAUGCGAAAGCGUGGGAGCAAACCAGGAUUAGAUACCCACGGUCACGCCUAAACGAUGUCAACUAGCUGUUUGGGGCCUUCGGGCCUUGGUGGCGCAGCAAAAAUGAAGUUGACCGCCUGGGGGAGUACAGUGCAAGAUUAAAACUCAAAGGAAUUGACGAGGACCCGCACAAGCGUUGGAUGAUGUGGAUUAAUUCGAUGCAACGCGAAAAACCUUACCUACCCUUGACAUGUCUGGAAUCCGAAGAGAUUUGGGAGUGCUCGCAAGAGAACCGGAACACAGGUGCUGCAUGGCAAUAGUAGAAACCGUGUCGUGAGAUGUUGAGUUGAUCGCAACCUUGGCUUCAACCCUUGUCAUUAGUUGCUACGAAGGGCACUCUAGUGAGACUGCCGGUGACAAACCGGAGGAAGGUGGGGACGUCAAGUCCUCAUGACAUAUGGUGAGGCUUCACGCGUCAUACAAUGGCAGUGCGGGACAGAGGGUCGCCAACCUGAGGGGAGCCAAUCCCAGAAACCCGAUCGUAGUCCGGAUCGCAGUCCACCAGCUCGACUGCGUGAAGUCGGAAUCGCUGAAAAUAAUCGCGGAUCAGCAUGUCGCGGUGGUCCGUUCCCGGGUCUUGUACACACACGCCCCGUCACGCCGGCAUGGGAGUGGGUUUUGCAAGUAGUUAAUAUAAUAACCGUAAGAGGAGGGCAGGUGCACAGUAGGAUUCAUGACCUGGGGUGAAGUCGUAACAAAGGUAG
This 1480-nucleotide ribosomal RNA is filed under the name uncultured Bordetella sp. RNAcentral's name for it is "partial 16S-23S ribosomal RNA intergenic spacer". It matches the Rfam family "Bacterial small subunit ribosomal RNA". Lineage: Bacteria; Pseudomonadati; Pseudomonadota; Betaproteobacteria; Burkholderiales; Alcaligenaceae. The record is from RNAcentral.